This 485-nucleotide ribosomal RNA is filed under the name uncultured bacterium. RNAcentral describes it as "bacterial SSU rRNA". It matches the Rfam family "Bacterial small subunit ribosomal RNA", at positions 30 to 505 of the family's 1533-position model. The record is from RNAcentral.
AUUGAACGCUGGCGGCAGGCCUAACACAUGCAAGUCGAACGGUAGCACAGAGAGCUUGCUCUCGGGUGACGAGUGGCGGACGGGUGAGUAAUGUCUGGGAAACUGCCUGAUGGAGGGGGAUAACUACUGGAAACGGUAGCUAAUACCGCAUAACGUCGCAAGACCAAAGAGGGGGACCUUCGGGCCUCUUGCCAUCAGAUGUGCCCAGAUGGGAUUAGCUAGUAGGUGGGGUAAUGGCUCACCUAGGCGACGAUCCCUAGCUGGUCUGAGAGGAUGACCAGCCACACUGGAACUGAGACACGGUCCAGACUCCUACGGGAGGCAGCAGUGGGGAAUAUUGCACAAUGGGGCGCAAGCCUGAUGCAGCCAUGCCGCGUGUAUGAAGAAGGCCUUCGGGUUGUAAAGUACUUUCAGCGGGGAGGAAGGUGUUGUGGUUAAUAACCGCAGCAAUGACGUUACCGCAGAAGAAGCACCGGCUAACUCCG